AUACUUACCUGUCCGGGACGCCUGCCUGAUCACGAAGGGGCAGCGUCGGGCGAGGUCGUCGCGCCUUGCACUUCGCGCGUACGUAAUCGCUUCGUUCGUCGCCUAACGGGGCGAACGACGGAACAAUUUAUUCCAGGGUGAGACCGGCGUGCGCGCCACUCGCC
This 164-nucleotide small nuclear RNA is filed under the name Ostreococcus tauri. RNAcentral's name for it is "U1 spliceosomal RNA". It matches the Rfam family "U1 spliceosomal RNA". From Rfam's summary of the family: U1 is a small nuclear RNA (snRNA) component of the spliceosome (involved in pre-mRNA splicing). Its 5' end forms complementary base pairs with the 5' splice junction, thus defining the 5' donor site of an intron. Lineage: Eukaryota; Viridiplantae; Chlorophyta; Mamiellophyceae; Mamiellales; Bathycoccaceae. The record is from Rfam by way of RNAcentral.